This 454-nucleotide ribosomal RNA is filed under the name uncultured organism. RNAcentral describes it as "partial 16S ribosomal RNA". It matches the Rfam family "Bacterial small subunit ribosomal RNA", at positions 330 to 800 of the family's 1533-position model. The record is from RNAcentral.
CGUACACUCCUACGGGAGGCAGCAGUGGGGAAUAUUGGACAAUGGGCGCAAGCCUGAUCCAGCCAUGCCGCGUGAGUGAUGAAGGCCCUAGGGUUGUAAAGCUCUUUCACCGGAGAAGAUAAUGACGGUAUCCGGAGAAGAAGCCCCGGCUAACUUCGUGCCAGCAGCCGCGGUAAUACGAAGGGGGCUAGCGUUGUUCGGAAUUACUGGGCGUAAAGCGCACGUAGGCGGAUCGAUCAGUCAGGGGUGAAAUCCCAGGGCUCAACCCUGGAACUGCCUUUGAUACUGUCGAUCUGGAGUAUGGAAGAGGUGAGUGGAAUUCCGAGUGUAGAGGUGAAAUUCGUAGAUAUUCGGAGGAACACCAGUGGCGAAGGCGGCUCACUGGUCCAUUACUGACGCUGAGGUGCGAAAGCGUGGGGAGCAAACAGGAUUAGAUACCCGGGUAGUCCCAUGA